CAGUAAUAGAAGUCUGUGUACCGUCGCCUCCUACUGACUCACCAGACAUUACAUAAAUGUCAGAACGACACCUCUAUAAUAGAGUUCGCGAAUCUUUCGACGAAUCCUGUUGGCCAACGGUCAAUGUCAGGAAACGUGUUCGAGUAUCACAUAAAGAAGAAGCAAUUGCCGGGGACAAUGUUCCACUUCAAGGAUAUCUACCGUGCACGAUGUAAUGGACGAUUGUGCUUCUACGAUGGAAAAUAUUCUGCAGUGAAUAAAGGUUAGCGUUAACACACUUCACAAGUUUUACGCCGGCCGAGAGGAAAAGUACGCCUUUUAUAGACUCUCAGACAAUGCGUCGAUCGGUUCCUGCUGCGCACUGCCAUUUCCUUUCGUCGAUUUCCAUUAUGAAAAAGUGAAACUGUUUCAUAACUUUAUGUCUUGUUACUUUCCUUUGGCAAAUGACGUUUACCUUUCAUUUGCUUGAAAUAUUCUUCACAA
This 483-nucleotide unclassified non-coding RNA is filed under the name Bombus terrestris (buff-tailed bumblebee). Its description in RNAcentral is "misc RNA ENSBTSG00005025813.1". Lineage: Eukaryota; Metazoa; Arthropoda; Insecta; Hymenoptera; Apidae. The record is from RNAcentral.